This is a non-coding RNA of Ictidomys tridecemlineatus (thirteen-lined ground squirrel), 1017 nucleotides long. The record is from RefSeq and is a predicted model, not a curated record. Lineage: Eukaryota; Metazoa; Chordata; Mammalia; Rodentia; Sciuridae.
GCUAGACUACUGAAAUAGUAGGCAUGAGGUGAGGCAUUUAAGAAUCAGAAAAGAUCAAGCAGAAUUAUAAUGAAGACUAGUGUAUAAAGAUCAUUCAUGGAAUUGUGUGCAUUUAGGGGAAGGCAGAUUGCCAAGACUAUCUGAUCAUACCCAGAAUUUCACACUGGAUCACUGUGUGUAUGACAUCAUGCUAUCAUACCGGAUAUACAAGAAGAGACAAUAUACUGGAGAUUAUAGUAAUUCACACAUACUUCAAGAGGAGAAUGAACCAACAGACACUGAGACCCACUAACAUCAAACAAUAUGUCCUGGCAGGCGGGAAUUUUCUUUUAAAGGACACAUGAUUGUAUGUUUUACUUCCUUUCACAAUCAAGGAAGCAAAACACUUUUUAGGACUCUUUAUGUUUUGAAGGAAGGCAGCCUGAGAAAACUUCAUCAGCCCACAAAUGAUGUAACCAAAAAGGCGGCUGGCUACCUUUGAGAGAGGCCCAAGGAAGAAAGGAAGAAGUGUGAGGCAGAGUCUGCUAUGCUCACACAGUCCUGCCUCUUGCACCAUAUCACCAAGCAGAGCCUAUGUGUUUGGAGAUGCUGGGUGAACAAGAUGCCAUGUGCAAGUUAAUGAAGAGCUCCCGUGACGCCUUCACACAUGGGCAUCCCUAGAGUUCUGGAGCAAAGCCAUGCCAAGCACAGUAUAGAGAGCUUGGUAAAAAUAAAGCAUCGUGAGAUGGGUGCUGCCCUACCCUCUGAACCAUGGAAAAGAAGACCUGGCCGGAAAUAAUGGUGAGUCAAAAGUGGCACAUGCAGGCCCUGGCCUGAGUCAGCUACACACCAAAUGCCCCUGACCGGCCCGUCAACUACUCCAGUUACACUCUGGUCUCCCUGAGUCAUACUAUGUUGGACAGGGCUGGGAAGCAGGGGUGACAUUUAUGACCCACUCAGAAGAAAAAGUCUACUUCAAAAUGACUGUGCAGAAAGUUCUAACAGAGGUACCAAAGAGUAAAGGCCCUACAAAUGCCA